AUUGCAAAUAUUUUACGUUGUAGAGUUAUAUGAAAUGCUAUAGAUUUAUAAUUUUCAUUGUAAUGUUAUCUCAGCAUUCGUUUUAUCCGUGUACACUGUAGAAAAUAUCAUUGCUGUUUGUUUUUCAGACAGCCGUGCCAUUUUCAUAUCCUCUGCAACACUUUCCAACACUUAAAAAAUACUGGAAAGAAGAGGUAACCGCUGACUCGUCACCGCACAAGCCAACCAACACCAUUGAUGCCAGACUGCAUUCCCUCAUACAAGACAGGACUUCUCAGUCAAGAGAACAGACAACUGAGACUUCAGCAGCGGUGGUCUCAAUAUCAAACUGAAUUGAAGAAUAUUCAGAACAACAAGAUGAGAAAAAACCAUUCCACUUGGCUCACUGCUAAAUCUAGUGUGUCUACUGAAGUUUAAAACGGACAAGUCAAGGUCGAGAAAUCUGUCGCAGCUUGAAGCGUAUGGGAGAGUGUCAAGGGAUUUCACAGACCACAUUGAUACAGAUAAAGAAAAACUGAACUUAGUCCAUUGAUGAGAAUCGCACUUGGCAAUCACGUUUCUGACAAAUCUCGCUAUCUGGGACAUUUAUCGAGACAUCGCGUAAACGUAAUCACGAACUGCGACACGACUAUUGAAACCAAACCCACGUCUCAAUUUUUUCCAACGACCACUUAAGUAAAACGUUAAUCAGA
RNAcentral lists this unclassified non-coding RNA (692 nucleotides) under Orbicella faveolata. RNAcentral describes it as "uncharacterized LOC110058972, transcript variant X2". Lineage: Eukaryota; Metazoa; Cnidaria; Anthozoa; Scleractinia; Merulinidae. The record is from RNAcentral.